Molecule: ribosomal RNA, 492 nt
Filed under: uncultured bacterium
Lineage: Bacteria
Description: partial 16S ribosomal RNA
Rfam family: Bacterial small subunit ribosomal RNA
Source: RNAcentral
AGUGAACGCUGGCGGUAGGCCUAACACAUGCAAGUCGAACGGCAGCACAGUAAGAGCUUGCUCUUACGGGUGGCGAGUGGCGGACGGGUGAGGAAUACAUCGGAAUCUACUUUUUCGUGGGGGAUAACGUAGGGAAACUUACGCUAAUACCGCAUACGACCUACGGGUGAAAGCAGGGGAUCUUCGGACCUUGCGCGAUUGAAUGAGCCGAUGUCGGAUUAGCUAGUUGGCGGGGUAAAGGCCCACCAAGGCGGCGAUCCGUAGCUGGUCUGAGAGGAUGAUCAGCCACACUGGAAGUGAGACACGGUCCAGACUACUACGGGUGGCAACAGUAGGGAAUAUUACGCAAUGGGCGAAAGCCUGACGGAACAAAGCCGCGUGAGUGAUGAAGGUCUUCGGAUCGUAAAACCCUGUUAUUAGGGAAGAACAAAUGUGUAAGUAACUAUGCAAGUUUUGACGGUACCUAAUCAGAAAGCCACGGCUAACUACGUG